CGUUGAAAAGUGCUUGGAUGACUUGUGGGUAGCGGAGAAAUUCCAAACGAACUUGGAGAUAGCUGGUUCUCUCCGAAAUAGCUUUAGGGCUAGCGUCGACAUAAAGAUUCUUGGAGGUAGAGCACUGUUUGGGUGAGGGGUCCAUCCCGGAUUACCAAUCUCAGAUAAACUCCGAAUGCCAAUGAAUUAUGGUCGGCAGUCAGACUGCGAGUGCUAAGAUCCGUAGUCGAAAGGGAAACAGCCCAGACCACCAGCUAAGGUCCCAAAAUAAUUGUUAAGUGGAAAAGGAUGUGGGGUUGCACAGACAACUAGGAUGUUAGCUUAGAAGCAGCUAUUCAUUCAAAGAGUGCGUAAUAGCUCACUAGUCGAGUGACCCUGCGCCGAAAAUGUACCGGGGCUAAAACAAUUUACCGAAGCUGUGGAUACCUUUAUAGGUAUGGUAGGAGAGCGUUCUAUGUGUGAUGAAGGUGUACCGUGAGGAGUGCUGGAACGCAUAGAAGUGAGAAUGCCGGUAUGAGUAGCGAAAGACAGGUGAGAAUCCUGUCCACCGUAAGACUAAGGUUUCCAGGGGAAGGCUCGUCCGCCCUGGGUUAGUCGGGACCUAAGGAGAGACCGAAAGGUGUAUCCGAUGGACAACAGGUUGAUAUUCCUGUACUAGAGUAUGUAGUGAUGGAGGGACGCAGUAGGCUAACUAAAGCAGACGAUUGGAAGAGUCUGUCUAAGCAGUGAGGUGUGAUAUGAGUCAAAUGCUUAUAUCUUUAACAUUGAGCUGUGAUGGGGAGCGAAGUUUAGUAGCGAAGUUAGUGACGUCACACUGCCAAGAAAAGCUUCUAGCGUUUAAACAUACUCUACCCGUACCGCAAACCGACACAGGUAGUCGAGGCGAGUAGCCUCAGGUGAGCGAGAGAACUCUCGUUAAGGAACUCGGCAAAAUGACCCCGUAACUUCGGGAGAAGGGGUGCUGACUUUAAGUCAGCCGCAGUGAAUAGGCCCAAGCAACUGUUUAUCAAAAACACAGCUCUCUGCUAAAUCGUAAGAUGAUGUAUAGGGGGUGACGCCUGCCCGGUGCUGGAAGGUUAAGAGGAGUGCUUAGCGUAAGCGAAGGUAUGAAUUGAAGCCCCAGUAAACGGCGGCCGUAACUAUAACGGUCCUAAGGUAGCGAAAUUCCUUGUCGGGUAAGUUCCGACCCGCACGAAAGGCGUAAUGAUUUGGGCACUGUCUCAACGAGAGACUCGGUGAAAUUUUAGUACCUGUGAAGAUGCAGGUUACCCGCGACAGGACGGAAAGACCCCAUGGAGCUUUAC
This 1304-nucleotide ribosomal RNA is filed under the name Klebsiella pneumoniae. RNAcentral's name for it is "partial 23S ribosomal RNA". It matches the Rfam family "Bacterial large subunit ribosomal RNA", at positions 787 to 2104 of the family's 2925-position model. The record is from RNAcentral. Lineage: Bacteria; Pseudomonadati; Pseudomonadota; Gammaproteobacteria; Enterobacterales; Enterobacteriaceae.